UCCGAGUUGACCCCGGCAGUCUCCUAUGAGUCCCCACCAUCACGUGCUGGCAACAUAGAACGAGGGUUGCGCUCGUUGCGGGACUUAACCCAACAUCUCACGGCACGAGCUGACGACAGCCAUGCACCACCUGUCACCGGUCCAGCCGAACUGAAGGAGACCAUCUCUGGGCUUAGCGCGGGAUGUCAAACCCUGGUAAGGUUCUGCGCGUUGCGUCGAAUUAAACCACAUGCUCCACCGCUUGUGCGGGCCCCCGUCAAUUCCUUUGAGUUUCAACCUUGCGGCCGUACUCCCCAGGCGGGACGCUUAAUGCGUUAGCUGCGCCACUGAUAAGCAUGCUUACCAACGGCUAGCAUCCAUCGUUUACGGCGUGGACUAC
RNAcentral lists this unclassified non-coding RNA (379 nucleotides) under uncultured bacterium. RNAcentral describes it as "contains 16S-23S intergenic spacer region". The record is from RNAcentral.